GAUGAACGCUAGCGACAGGCCUAACACAUGCAAGUCGAGGGCAGCACGAAGUAAGCUUGCUUACUUUGGUGGCGACCGGCGCACGGGUGCGUAACAGGUGUGCAAUCUGUCCAUAAUCGGGGAAUAGCCCAGCGAAAGUUGGAUUAAUGCUCCAUGUGAGUUUUAGAGGCAUCUCUUUAAUUUGAAACGUAAGGAUUAUGGGUGAGCACGCUUCUGAUUAGGUAGUUGGUGAGGUAACGGCUCACCAAGCCGACGAUUAGUAGGGGUUCUGGAGAGGAAGGUCCCCCCACAUUGGAACUGAGACACGGUCCAAACUCCUACGGGAGGCAGCAGUGAGGAAUAUUGGUCAAUGGGCGAAAGCCUGAACCAGCCAAGUCGC
RNAcentral lists this ribosomal RNA (379 nucleotides) under uncultured bacterium. RNAcentral describes it as "bacterial SSU rRNA". It matches the Rfam family "Bacterial small subunit ribosomal RNA", at positions 28 to 400 of the family's 1533-position model. The record is from RNAcentral.